RNAcentral lists this ribosomal RNA (502 nucleotides) under uncultured bacterium. RNAcentral describes it as "partial 16S ribosomal RNA". It matches the Rfam family "Bacterial small subunit ribosomal RNA", at positions 30 to 523 of the family's 1533-position model. The record is from RNAcentral.
AUUGAACGCUGGCGGCAGGCUUAACACAUGCAAGUCGAGCGGAGCCAGGGUGCUUGCACCUUAGCUUAGCGGCGGACGGGUGAGUAAUGCUUAGGAAUCUGCCUAUUAGUGGGGGACAACAUUCCGAAAGGAAUGCUAAUACCGCAUACGCCCUACGGGGGAAAGCAGGGGAUCUUCGGACCUUGCGCUAAUAGAUGAGCCUAAGUCGGAUUAGCUAGCUGGUGGGGUAAAGGCCUACCAAGGCGACGAUCCGUAGCGGGUCUGAGAGGAUGGUCCGCCACACUGGGACUGGGACACGGCCCAGACUGCUACGGGAGGCAGCAGUGGGGAAUAUUGGACAAUGGGCGGAAGCCUGAUCCAGCCAUGCCGCGUGUGUGAAGAAGGCCUUUUGGUUGUAAAGCACUUUAAGCGAGGAGGAGGCUACUUAGAUUAAUACUCUGGGAUAGUGGACGUUACUCGCAGAAUAAGCACCGGCUAACUCUGUGCCAGCCGCCGCCCGUAA